CCUACGGGAGGCAGCAGUGAGGAAUAUUGGUCAAUGGGCGCGAGCCUGAACCAGCCAAGUAGCGUGAAGGAUGACUGCCCUACGGGUUGUAAACUUCUUUUAUAAAGGAAUAAAUUGCGGCACGUGUCCCUGUUGGUAUGUACUUUAUCAAUAAGGAUCGGCUAACUCCGUGCCAGCAGCCGCGGUAAUACGGAGGGUCCGAGCGUUAUCCGGAUUUAUUGGGUUUAAAGGGAGCGUAGAUGGGUUGUUAAGUCAGAUGUGAAAGUUUGCGGCUCAACCGUAGAAUUGCAAUUGAUACUGGCAGUCUUGAGUACAGUAGAGGUAGGCGGAAUUCGUGGUGUAGCGGUGAAAUGCGUAGAUAUUACGAAGAACUCCGAUGGCGAAGGCAGCUUACUAAACUGCCACUGACAUUGAUGCUCGAAAGUGUGGGGAGCAAACAGGAUUAGAUACCCGGGUAGUC
This 460-nucleotide ribosomal RNA is filed under the name uncultured bacterium. RNAcentral describes it as "partial 16S ribosomal RNA". It matches the Rfam family "Bacterial small subunit ribosomal RNA", at positions 338 to 795 of the family's 1533-position model. The record is from RNAcentral.